Podospora pseudocomata is the source of this 71-nucleotide non-coding RNA. Lineage: Eukaryota; Fungi; Ascomycota; Sordariomycetes; Sordariales; Podosporaceae. The record is from the annotation of a RefSeq genome assembly.
GAACCUCGACAGGAAUCGAACCUGCGCCUCCGACGUGGUAGUCGACGUGCCACGCACUACACCACAAGGUU